This 476-nucleotide ribosomal RNA is filed under the name uncultured bacterium. RNAcentral describes it as "bacterial SSU rRNA". It matches the Rfam family "Bacterial small subunit ribosomal RNA", at positions 1024 to 1504 of the family's 1533-position model. The record is from RNAcentral.
GAAUCGGAACACAGGUGCUGCAUGGCUGUCGCCAGCUCGUGUCGUGAGAUGUUGGGUUAAGUCCCGCAACGAGCGCAACCCUUGUCCCUAGUUGCUACGCAAGGGCACUCUAGGGAGACUGCCGGUGACAAACCGGAGGAAGGUGGGGAUGACGUCAAGUCCUCAUGGCCCUUAUGGGUAGGGCUUCACACGUCAUACAAUGGCCGGUACAGAGGGUUGCCAACCCGCGAGGGGGAGCCAAUCCCGAGAAAGCCGGUCGUAGUCCGGAUCGCAGUCUGCAACUCGACUGCGUGAAGUCGGAAUCGCUAGUAAUCGCGGAUCAGCAUGCCGCGGUGAAUACGUUCCCGGGUCUUGUACACACCGCCCGUCACACCAUGGGAGCGGGAUGUACCAGAAGCAGCUAGCCGAACCGCAAGGGGGGCGGUUGCCACGGUGCGUUUCGUGACCUGGGGUGAAGUCGUAACAAGGUAGCCGUA